Molecule: non-coding RNA, 69 nt
Organism: Podarcis lilfordi (Lilford's wall lizard)
Lineage: Eukaryota; Metazoa; Chordata; Lepidosauria; Squamata; Lacertidae
Source: the annotation of a GenBank genome assembly
GCCAUAGCUCAGUGGGAGAACAUCUACCUUGCAUGCAGGAGGCCCCAGGUUCAAUCCCCAACGUCUGCA